RNAcentral lists this ribosomal RNA (513 nucleotides) under uncultured Saccharomycetaceae. RNAcentral's name for it is "eukaryotic LSU rRNA". It matches the Rfam family "Eukaryotic large subunit ribosomal RNA", at positions 62 to 578 of the family's 3401-position model. Lineage: Eukaryota; Fungi; Ascomycota; Saccharomycetes; Saccharomycetales; Saccharomycetaceae. The record is from RNAcentral.
AAACCAACAGGGAUUGCCUUAGUAACGGCGAGUGAAGCGGCAAAAAGCUCAAAUUUGAAAUCUGGUAGUUUUACUGCCCGAGUUGUAAUUUGAAGAACCGGUUCUUGUAGCGCGGCCUUUGUCUAUGUUCCUUGGAACAGGACGUCAUAGAGGGUGAGAAUCCCGUGUGGCGAGGAGUGCGGUUCUUUGUAAAGUGCCUUCGAAGAGUCGAGUUGUUUGGGAAUGCAGCUCUAAGUGGGUGGUAAAUUCCAUCUAAAGCUAAAUAUUGGCGAGAGACCGAUAGCGAACAAGUACAGUGAUGGAAAGAUGAAAAGAACUUUGAAAAGAGAGUGAAAAAGUACGUGAAAUUGUUGAAAGGGAAGGGCAUUUGAUCAGACAUGGUGUUUUGUGCCCUCUGCUCCUUGUGGGUAGGGGAAUCUCGCAUUUCACUGGGCCAGCAUCAGUUUGUGGCAGGAUAAAUCCAUAGGAAUGUAGCUUGCCUCGGUAAGUAUUAUAGCCUGUGGGAAUACUGCC